UGGGGAAUAUUGCGCAAUGGGCGAAAGCCUGACGCAGCGACUCCGCGUGAAGGAUGAAGUCUUUCGGGAUGUAAACUUCUGUCAAGAGAGAUGAUUAUGACAGUAUCUCUAGAGGAAGCACCGGCUAACUACGUGCCAGCAGCCGCGGUAAUACGUAGGGUGCAAGCGUUAUCCGGAUUUAUUGGGCAUAAAGCGCGCGUAGGCGGUAGGUUAAGUCAGAUAUUAAAGCCUUUAGCUCAACUAAAGUACGUAUUUGAUACUGACCUACUAGAGAACAGUAGAGGAAAGCGGAACUCACGGUGUAGCGGUGAAAUGCGUAGAUAUCGUGAGGAACACCAGUUGCGAAGGCGGCUUUCUGGACUGAUUCUGACGCUGAGGUGCGAAAGCGUGGGGAGCGAACGGG
This 403-nucleotide ribosomal RNA is filed under the name uncultured bacterium. RNAcentral describes it as "bacterial SSU rRNA". It matches the Rfam family "Bacterial small subunit ribosomal RNA", at positions 355 to 776 of the family's 1533-position model. The record is from RNAcentral.